This 1059-nucleotide ribosomal RNA is filed under the name Triticum aestivum (bread wheat). RNAcentral's name for it is "partial small subunit ribosomal RNA". Lineage: Eukaryota; Viridiplantae; Streptophyta; Magnoliopsida; Poales; Poaceae. The record is from RNAcentral.
AUGGUGCAUAUGAAUCAAGGGCAAGGGGAGACAAGCUAUGCUCGUAACUCCAGGAUUCAGAAUGCUCAACAAAACAGGAUGAAGCCCCUGAUAGAAGGGUCCAUCUUUGAGUUAUGCAGCAACAACACCUUGUUCCCUGGAAAGAUACUGAUCGCAGACUUGGGCUGCUCCUCUGGCCCAAAUGCGCUUGCACUGGUAUCGAUUGCCGUCGAGGCCAUCCACAGCUAUUGCCUUCAGUUUGAGCAGACACUACCGGAAGUGUGCGUGCUACUCAAUGACCUGCCUGACAACGAUUUCAACACAGUGGUGAAGAGCCUGGUCACACUCCGUCAAAGCAAGAAGCCCAAUGUUUUGACUGGUGUCACGCCGGGGUCAUUUUACGAGAGGCUCUUCACUAGUGGCUCAAUGCAUCUUAUCUGCUCAUCCAACAGCCUGCAUUGGCUCUCAAAGGCUCCUGAACAUCUCACAAGGAACCAGAUCCCGGCGUAUGACAUGGAUGAGCAUGCUAGGUGUGAAAGCCUCCCUAUUGUCCUCGAGGCUUAUGCACAACAGUUUAUGGAAGAUUUCACACUUUUCCUGAAGCUAAGAGCCAAGGAAUUGGUUCCAGGAGGCCGAAUGGUUGUUUCCCUUGUAGGGAGGCAUUCUGAUGUGACCGCCUCCAAAUUCUCUCACCUCUGGGAAACUGUAGCUCAGAUUCUAAGUGUCAUGGCCUCAGAGGGUGUGAUAGACAAAGCCAAGUAUGAUUCUUUCUACGUGCCGAUGUAUGGAGCAUCCAGUGAAGAGUUGAUGGAGAUCAUCCAAGAAGAAGGCUCCUUCUCAAUCACGGACAUGCGGGUAUAUGACCCCGCAACUGAUAUGAACAAUGCACUCUUUACAUCAAGUUGGUUCAUAAAUCAUCUGAGAGCCAUAUUUGAGCCUAUAAUAGUCGAGCAUUUCGGAGACGUCAUGAAUGAAUUUGUGAGAACUGCGGAGCAGCGCUGGACCCUCGAGGGCAGCGUGCAAGACGAGCGUGCCAAAUACCCGCGAGCUAUGCAGGUCGUAUCGCUUGCGAAGGCAUGA